Molecule: ribosomal RNA, 151 nt
Filed under: Volvox carteri f. nagariensis
Lineage: Eukaryota; Viridiplantae; Chlorophyta; Chlorophyceae; Chlamydomonadales; Volvocaceae
Description: 5.8S ribosomal RNA
Rfam family: 5.8S ribosomal RNA
About the family: 5.8S ribosomal RNA (5.8S rRNA) is a component of the large subunit of the eukaryotic ribosome. It is transcribed by RNA polymerase I as part of the 45S precursor that also contains 18S and 28S rRNA. Functionally, it is thought that 5.8S rRNA may be involved in ribosome translocation.
Source: Rfam by way of RNAcentral
AACUCUCAACAACAGAUAUCUUGGCUCUCAGAUCGAUGAAGAACGCAGCGAAGUGCGAUACGGAGUGUGAAGUGUAGAAAUACGUGAUCCGGAUUCACGUUCUUGUUGCCGUACCCUGACAUUUUAACAAAAACUGUUUUCCACUGUGGUC